CCCCUAGAUGUUCUGGGCCGCACGCGCGCUACACUGAACAGUUCAACAAGUCUUAACCUUGGCCGAUAGGUCUGGGUAAUCUUUGAACGCUGUUCGUGAUUGGGAUAGACCUUUGCAAUUAUGGGUCUUCAACGAGGAAUUCCUAGUAAACGCAAGUCAUCAGCUUGCAUUGAUUACGUCCCUGCCCUUUGUACACACCGCCCGUCGCACCUACCGAUUGAAUGGUCCGGUGAAAUCUCGGGACGGCGGCUUGGUCGCUUGCGUCCGACUGCUGAAACUUGAUUAAACCAUNUNAUUUACNGGAAGGUGAANUCGUANCA
Molecule: ribosomal RNA, 320 nt
Filed under: uncultured eukaryote
Lineage: Eukaryota
Description: partial 18S ribosomal RNA
Rfam family: Eukaryotic small subunit ribosomal RNA
Source: RNAcentral